GUAUGAUAUUAUUUACAAAUGACAAUACAAUAACAUCAAAUAUGCAGAUGUUAAUGAUGAAGACAAUAAUUUUCGCGACCGAGAAGGAAGGGUAACACUUUUUCAUUUUUAUUUCUUAUUUUUUUAAGCAAAUGUAGUACACAGAUGAUAAUAUGAUCUAGUUCACAGAGACUAUAAAGAUGUCCUAUAUAUCACGGACACUUUGCAGAAACGUAUCUUUCUACAAAAACCGCCUGUGUAGUUUACCGCUUUUUUCAUCCUUUUUUUCUUUCUUUUUUGUAAUCUUGUAGUUUAUGACUUCACUUUGUUUUCUUUAUUAUCAUUAUUUCCUUCGUAACCUCGAUCGAACACAGGGACACACACACACACACCUGCGUCUCCCCUGUGAAAUAUAUCCCAUUCCUGUGUGCGCUUCUGUCUAACAUAGGCGCGUCUCUGAACUCUCACGCAGACGGACAGGCAGAUAGAUAGACACCCAGGCACACGCGCUGGGAUCUGGAGAUAAUACGUGAUAGAAUCUCACUUGCUUGUGUAGGUUCUUUCGGCUUGUGUGAAGGAGGCAUGAGGGGCCCACGUGUUCGAGUGUUUGUGGCUCUGGCUUCGGCGAGCGUCUUCCUCCUCCCACCCGCCCUCGCCGCCCACGACGACACGCCCACAGGCAUCCCGGGCGAUUCCACGAGGACCUGCGUCGGCGAAGGGUGCCUCCGGCCCCCUCGCUCCGCCGCUUCUGCGCUUCCUUCGUCGAACUCUGAGCCUGUGGAACGAACGGUGCGAGAAACGGAGAUGAAGAUAGAGGAGGAGGAG
Molecule: long non-coding RNA, 804 nt
Organism: Penaeus monodon (black tiger shrimp)
Lineage: Eukaryota; Metazoa; Arthropoda; Malacostraca; Decapoda; Penaeidae
Exons: 3
Source: RefSeq, a predicted model, not a curated record